Molecule: ribosomal RNA, 549 nt
Filed under: uncultured bacterium
Lineage: Bacteria
Description: bacterial SSU rRNA
Rfam family: Bacterial small subunit ribosomal RNA
Source: RNAcentral
UAGGGAAUCUUCGGCAAUGGGGGCAACCCUGACCGAGCAACGCCGCGUGAGUGAAGAAGGUUUUCGGAUCGUAAAGCUCUGUUGUAAGAGAAGAACGAGUGUGAGAGUGGAAAGUUCACACUGUGACGGUAACUUACCAGAAAGGGACGGCUAACUACGUGCCAGCAGCCGCGGUAAUACGUAGGUCCCGAGCGUUAUCCGGAUUUAUUGGGCGUAAAGCGAGCGCAGGCGGUUAGAUAAGUCUGAAGUUAAAGGCCGUGGCUUAACCAUAGUACGCUUUGGAAACUGUUUAACUUGAGUGCAGAAGGGGAGAGUGGAAUUCCAUGUGUAGCGGUGAAAUGCGUAGAUAUAUGGAGGAACACCGGUGGCGAAAGCGGCUCUCUGGUCUGUAACUGACGCUGAGGCUCGAAAGCGUGGGGAGCAAACAGGAUUAGAUACCCUGGUAGUCCACGCCGUANACGAUGAGUGCUAGGUGUUGGGUCCUUUCCGGGACUCAGUGCCGCAGCUAACGCAUUAAGCACUCCGCCUGGGGAGUACGACCGCAAGGNU